RNAcentral lists this ribosomal RNA (325 nucleotides) under uncultured eukaryote. Its description in RNAcentral is "partial 18S ribosomal RNA". It matches the Rfam family "Eukaryotic small subunit ribosomal RNA", at positions 1470 to 1796 of the family's 1831-position model. The record is from RNAcentral.
CCCUUAGAUGUCCUGGGCCGCACGCGCGCUACACUGAUGCAUUCAACGAGUUUCACCUUUGCCGAGAGGCCUGGGCAAUCUUUUAAACCUGCAUCGUGAUAGGGAUAGAUUAUUGCAAUUGUUAAUCUUGAACGAGGAAUUCCUAGUAAACGCAAAUCAUCAAUUUGCAUUGAUUACGUCCCUGCCCUUUGUACACACCGCCCGUCGCACCUACCGAUUGAAUGGUCCGGUGAAGCCUCGGGAUUGUGGCCAGUUCACUUUAUUGGGAGUUGGCUGUGAGAACUUGUCUAAACCUUAUCAUUUAGAGGAAGGUGAAGUCGUAACA